This 118-nucleotide small nuclear RNA is filed under the name Arabidopsis suecica. Its description in RNAcentral is "U5". It matches the Rfam family "U5 spliceosomal RNA". From Rfam's summary of the family: U5 RNA is a component of both types of known spliceosome. The precise function of this molecule is unknown, though it is known that the 5' loop is required for splice site selection and p220 binding, and that both the 3' stem-loop and the Sm site are important for Sm protein binding and cap methylation. The record is from RNAcentral. Lineage: Eukaryota; Viridiplantae; Streptophyta; Magnoliopsida; Brassicales; Brassicaceae.
AGCCAUGUGGUGAGCACAAAGCGAACUAUUCUUUCGCCUUUUACUAAAGAAUACCGUGUGCUCUCCACGCUAAGUGGCAUACGCCUAUUUUUGGAGGGCUCUCACUUAACCGUGAGAC